Molecule: ribosomal RNA, 458 nt
Filed under: uncultured bacterium
Lineage: Bacteria
Description: bacterial SSU rRNA
Rfam family: Bacterial small subunit ribosomal RNA
Source: RNAcentral
ACGCUGGCGGCGUGCCUAAUACAUGCAAGUCGAACGCUCUUUUCUUAUCGAACUUCGGUUCACCGAGAAAAGGGAGUGGCGAACGGGUGAGUAACACGUGGGUAACCUACCUUUUGGAGGGGGACAACCACUGGAAACGGUGGCUAAUACCCCAUAGUGCUGAGAAGUGAAAUGAUGAAUAAUCGCCAAGAGAUGGGCUUGCGGCUGAUUAGCUUGUUGGUGAGGUAAUGGCUUACCAAGGCAAUGAUCAGUAGCUGGUCUGAGAGGAUGAUCAGCCACACUGGGACUGAGACACGGCCCAGACUCCUACGGGAGGCAGCAGUGAGGAAUUUUCCGCAAUGGGCGAAAGCCUGACGGAGCAAUGCCGCGUGAAGGAUGAAGGCCUAUGGGUUGUAAACUUCUUUUCUCAGAGAAGAAUUUUGACGGUAUCUGAGGAAUAAGCAUCGGCUAACUCUGUG